UACGGGAGGCAGCAGUGGGGAAUAUUGCACAAUGGGCGCAAGCCUGAUGCAGCCAUGCCGCGUGUAUGAAGAAGGCCUUCGGGUUGUAAAGUACUUUCAGUCGUGAGGAAGGUGUUAAGGUUAAUAACCUUAGCAAUUGACGUUAGCGACAGAAGAAGCACCGGCUAACUCCGUGCCAGCAGCCGCGGUAAUACGGAGGGUGCGAGCGUUAAUCGGAAUUACUGGGCGUAAAAGGGCACGCAGGCGGUUAAUUAAGUUGGAUGUGAAAUCCCCGGGCUUAACCUGGGAAUGGCAUUCAAGACUGGUUAGCUAGAGUCUUGUAGAGGGGGUAGAAUUCCAUGUGUAGCGGUGAAAUGCGUAGAGAUGUGGAGGAAUACCGGGUGGCGAAAGGCGGCCCCUGGGACAAAGACUGACGCUCAUGUGCGAAAGCGUGGGGAGCAAACAGGAUUAGAUACC
This 456-nucleotide ribosomal RNA is filed under the name uncultured bacterium. Its description in RNAcentral is "bacterial SSU rRNA". It matches the Rfam family "Bacterial small subunit ribosomal RNA", at positions 340 to 786 of the family's 1533-position model. The record is from RNAcentral.